This is a non-coding RNA of Triticum aestivum (bread wheat), 139 nucleotides long. The record is from Rfam. NCBI's taxonomy places the organism in Eukaryota, Viridiplantae, Streptophyta, Magnoliopsida, Poales, Poaceae.
AGGGUGGAUGAGGAAGACAUCGUCUCUCACAUCCUGGCUAGGCUCUAAGAAGACUUUGAUCCGGUGGUGUCCGCCAUGUGCUCCCAGGUGGAGCCGGUCACUGUCGCCGAGCUGUUCUCACAGCUGCUCAGCUUCGAAA